UAGAAUUGGAAUCCAAAUUCUCUGAAAACCUCUCCAUUUUUCAGGCCAAAUAAUUUUAAAAAAAAAAUAACACAAUGCCCAAUAACACGUUGACACGUGGCAGUGUCAAAUGAGUGUCAAAUAUAAGAUGUCAAAAUAACGGGAUCCUUUAUGAAAUUGGUGGUUCAAGGUCUCCUCAAGCAACAUUACUGCUUUCGCG
This 199-nucleotide long non-coding RNA is filed under the name Vigna radiata. RNAcentral describes it as "long non-coding RNA (VRAD_LNC004942)". The record is from RNAcentral. Lineage: Eukaryota; Viridiplantae; Streptophyta; Magnoliopsida; Fabales; Fabaceae.